AGUUAUGGUAAGUGGAGAAAGGGAAGGAGCCCUCGUGCGGUGCGUUGGUGGUAUAGUGGUUAGCAUAGCUGCCUUCCAAGCAGUUGACCCGGGUUCGAUUCCCGGCCAACGCAAGUGGGUUUGCUUUUCUUUCUGCUUCGCAUAGAUUUCGAAGCUCAUCCAAAACGCGUCUCGUAGCGCGGUUUUCCCCGGCUGGGUGCAGACGGUCACCAGCACGGCCGGUGGAAUGUGCAUGUUGCCCUGCUUUGAAAGUACGGUGCUGUCCUUUUGGUCCCAAAUCUCAUCAAGAGGAGCUGCGAGGCCUCGAAGAGUUGGGAGGAGAGACCUGCUGGCUGAGGAAGAGGUGGGUGUUCCACACCACUGUGUAUGAAGACAUUCUGGCAGUGUUCCUUUCAGAAAGGUGAACAGCCCAGCAAGGAGCAGAAGGUGCGUUCCUCACACACGGCACAAUGCCCACAGCACAGUAAGGCCUCGUGCCCAGCUCCUCAUGGCACUGCUGGAGGCUUCAGGCCUGCUGCAUUCCCUCCUGGCAGCCUGCGCCCCUCAGCCCAUGCCCACUCACUCAGCUCUGCGGCCCAGGCCGAAGCCAGGUGUGCAGACUGUAUGCAAGGACAAGACGUGGCGCUUAGGGGCCACGUGUGAAGAAGCAGCAGCUCCUUUUCCUGAGGCAGCUGCCACCAGAUGUCGGUAGAACAGUGACAACGAGGAGUGGGGCUUCCUUCAGAGCUGCUCAGAGUGAAUCUGGCCUCAGGACAGGUGGAUGACUGGUGGUCUAUCAGUCAAGUGAUCAGUGGCAAAAGGAGAGGAACAGACCAAACAGUCCCAGGGAGGAAGUUCUUGGAAGGAAACCAGAGAACAGCGUCUUUUCUGGAUAGACAAAGCAGUACAAAGUCAAGAGGUCUCACAGGAACAGAUCCCAGAUUCCUGAAUUCCCAUGCAUUAAAAAAAUGUUACCUCU
Long non-coding RNA from Gallus gallus (chicken), 958 nucleotides. RefSeq lists it as uncharacterized. The record is from RefSeq and is a predicted model, not a curated record. Lineage: Eukaryota; Metazoa; Chordata; Aves; Galliformes; Phasianidae. The transcript is spliced from 4 exons.